RNAcentral lists this long non-coding RNA (527 nucleotides) under Androctonus crassicauda. The record is from RNAcentral. Lineage: Eukaryota; Metazoa; Arthropoda; Arachnida; Scorpiones; Buthidae.
UUAUAUAAGUGUAUGGCAUAUAUUCCGGCUUUUCUAUCACCUGGUAUACGGUCCUUGUCAUUUCUCAUCAGAUCAAAUACCGUGUGGCCUCUUUUUCUGACCACUACACACUGCUUGUCCUUUAGGAGUUUGGUGAUGGUAUUAAUCACACUUCUAUCAUAUGUAAUUUUAACAUAUUUAGGCCAAGUCUGCCUUUGGUCAGUGGCGUCAGUAGAAUUCUUUCUUCGUGAUACGGACAGAGACCUUUUCCAUACUCCUUCAGUCGUUUUGUAGGAGUACCCAUACUUGCUUCCUAUUUUAUGAAUAAACUGCCGCUCCCUCUCUUUGUCUAACCACUUGGUGAUAUGUGUGAACGCUCUAGAGAACAUAGCCCAAAACGCUGCAAGUUUGUAUGAUAUGGGGUCCAAGGACCAUGCGGGAAUCAGCACUGGAACAUACGUAGGUUUUCUGUAAACCUUUGUGAUGUACUCUCCCAUCUCCACAUCCAGGAAGUGAAAGUCGUGAUGUGUACAUUGUUCCACCCUGGU